UUAACACAUGCAAGUCGAACGGAAAGGCCCUUCGGGGUACUCGAGUGGCGAACGGGUGAGUAACACGUGGGUGAUCUGCCUCGUACUUUGGGAUAAGCCUGGGAAACUGGGUCUAAUACCGRAUAUGACCUUGAGAUGCAUGUCUCUUGGUGGAAACUUUUUGGGUACGAGAUGGGCCCGCGGCCUAUCAGCUUGUUGGUGGGGUAAUGGCCUACCAAGGCGACGACGGGUAGCCGGCCUGAGAGGGCGACCGGCCACACUGGGACUGAGACACGGCCCAGACUCCUACGGGAGGCAGCAGUGGGGAAUAUUGCACAAUGGGCGGAAGCCUGAUGCAGCGACGCCGCGUGAGGGAUGACGGCCUUCGGGUUGUAAACCUCUUUCACCAGGGACGAAGAGAAAUUGACGGUA
Molecule: ribosomal RNA, 411 nt
Filed under: actinobacterium BAL218
Lineage: Bacteria; Bacillati; Actinomycetota; Actinomycetes
Description: bacterial SSU rRNA
Rfam family: Bacterial small subunit ribosomal RNA
Source: RNAcentral